This is a small nucleolar RNA of Scomber japonicus (chub mackerel), 165 nucleotides long. RefSeq annotates it as small nucleolar RNA SNORA23. Lineage: Eukaryota; Metazoa; Chordata; Actinopteri; Scombriformes; Scombridae. The record is from RefSeq and is a predicted model, not a curated record. The transcript has a single exon.
UGUGUUAUGUGUGUGUGUGUGUGUGUGUGUGUGUGUGUGUGUGUUUGUGCCGUACACACACACACACACACACACACACACACACACACACACACAGAUCUUUGUGAUCAGUGUUCGACACGUUAACGUCUUUGUUCAGACGAAGUCGACAAAUUCUCUCCACCU